This 80-nucleotide transfer RNA is filed under the name Acidobacteria bacterium CG_4_9_14_3_um_filter_49_7. RNAcentral's name for it is "tRNA-Ser". It matches the Rfam family "tRNA", at positions 11 to 71 of the family's 71-position model. Rfam says of the family: Transfer RNA (tRNA) molecules are approximately 80 nucleotides in length. Their secondary structure includes four short double-helical elements and three loops (D, anti-codon, and T loops). Further hydrogen bonds mediate the characteristic L-shaped molecular structure. tRNAs have two regions of fundamental functional importance: the anti-codon, which is responsible for specific mRNA codon recognition, and the 3' end, to which the tRNAs corresponding amino acid is attached (by aminoacyl-tRNA synthetases). tRNAs cope with the degeneracy of the genetic code in two manners: having more than one tRNA (with a specific anti-codon) for a particular amino acid; and 'wobble' base-pairing, i.e. permitting non-standard base-pairing at the 3rd anti-codon position. Lineage: Bacteria; Pseudomonadati; Acidobacteriota. The record is from RNAcentral.
UGGAGUGGUUGAACAGGGCUGCCUGCUAAGCAGUUGUACUGGAAACGGUACCGAGGGUUCGAAUCCCUCUCUCUCCGCCA